AGUGAACGCUGGCGGUAGGCCUAACACAUGCAAGUCGAACGGCAGCACAGUAAGAGCUUGCUCUUACGGGUGGCGAGUGGCGGACGGGUGAGGAAUACAUCGGAAUCUACUUUUUCGUGGGGGAUAACGUAGGGAAACUUACGCUAAUACCGCAUACGACCUACGGGUGAAAGCAGGGGAUCUUCGGACCUUGCGCGAUUGAAUGAGCCGAUGUCGGAUUAGCUAGUUGGCGGGGUAAAGGCCCACCAAGGCGACGAUCCGUAGCUGGUCCGAGAGGAUGGACCGCCCACACUGAACCUGGGACACGGUCCAGACUCCACCGGAAGCCAGAAGUGGGAAUAUUGGACAAUGGGCGCAAGCCUGAUCCAGCCAUACCGCGUGGGUGAAGAAGGCCUUCGGGUUGUAAAGCCCUUUUGUUGGGAAAGAAAAGCAGCAGGUUAAUACCCCGCUGUUCUGACGGUACCCAAAGAAUAAGCACCGGCUAACUUCGUG
Molecule: ribosomal RNA, 492 nt
Filed under: uncultured bacterium
Lineage: Bacteria
Description: partial 16S ribosomal RNA
Rfam family: Bacterial small subunit ribosomal RNA
Source: RNAcentral